AAAGGUGGUUAUAGCGAGAGGGUUCCACCUCUUCCCAUACCGAACAGAGAAGUUAAGCCUCUUAGCGCCGAUGGUACUACGCAAGUGGGAGAGUAGGUCGCCGCCUUCA
This 109-nucleotide ribosomal RNA is filed under the name Saprospiraceae bacterium. The record is from RNAcentral. RNAcentral also lists the same sequence under 1 other name. Lineage: Bacteria; Pseudomonadati; Bacteroidota; Saprospiria; Saprospirales; Saprospiraceae.